Callithrix jacchus (white-tufted-ear marmoset) is the source of this 312-nucleotide non-coding RNA. The record is from Rfam. NCBI's taxonomy places the organism in Eukaryota, Metazoa, Chordata, Mammalia, Primates, Cebidae.
GGAUGUGAGGAUGAUCUGGCUGUGACAUCUGUUAUCCCAUUGAUUGCCAGGGUUGAUCUGGCUGAUCUGGCUGGGUAGGCAGGUGUCCCCUUCCUCCUGACCACUCCAUGUGCAGCCCUUGUGAAGCUGUGUUCUUGGUUGAAGAGGAUGAUCUUCUCCAAUAGAGGAGGACCAUUCUUUGAUCAAGGGUAUAUGAGUAGCUGCACUCUCCUGCCAGAACCUCCAAGUAAGCUCUCAAGGUCCAUAUGUUAUUUUGAGAACUUCAGAGUGUCCCUGCCCACAUGCCACAACCCCUUGCUGCUUCCAGUCUGA